Molecule: long non-coding RNA, 388 nt
Filed under: Rattus norvegicus (Norway rat)
Lineage: Eukaryota; Metazoa; Chordata; Mammalia; Rodentia; Muridae
Description: long non-coding RNA NONRATT023315
Source: RNAcentral
UAAGGCACAGGCCUUUGUUGGCCAAGAAAAGAACUUCACCUCCACCAGCAAUGAUUAUGAAGAGCUGACUGCAUACAAUAUACAAAAAGGAUACCCUAAAAAAAAUCUAAACCGCUACUACCAGGAACACUGGGCCUUCCAACCGUGCAUCAUCGGGAGACCCUGAGGGUUCUAGUGGCACCACACGGGCUCUGAGCUGUGCAGCUGCUGGAGGGUCUCCAUGAGGAUGAAGAAGGCAGUGGACAGGAGUCAUGAAGACUGAUUCAGAAACUCCACCACAAGGAGGGAAGAGGUCUGAGCCAUCCCUGUGCCACCAGCACGAGUCACCCCAGCUCCUGACAGCCAGGGAGGGGGGCUGCCUGCAAUUAAAGUCCUUGUUUGCAUCAGA